UCCGUAACUCUUUAUCCGAGACCUAAAAGGCUCAUGACGCUCUUCGGAGUAGAUUGAGAAUCCAUGAUACUAUCGAGCCAAGAAAAGUUUCUAAGUUUAGUAAUAAUUGCCCGUACCGUAAACCGACACAGGUGGGUGGGAUGAGUAUUCUAAGGCGCGUGGAAGAACUCUCUUUAAGGAACUCUGCAAAAUAGCACCGUAUCUUCGGUAUAAGGUGUGCCUAACUUUGUAUUAAGAUUCACUCCCAAAGCAAAGAAGGUUACAACAAAGAGUCCCUCCCGACUGUUUACCAUAA
This 295-nucleotide ribosomal RNA is filed under the name Campylobacter fetus subsp. testudinum. Its description in RNAcentral is "partial 23S ribosomal RNA". It matches the Rfam family "Bacterial large subunit ribosomal RNA", at positions 1541 to 1812 of the family's 2925-position model. Lineage: Bacteria; Pseudomonadati; Campylobacterota; Epsilonproteobacteria; Campylobacterales; Campylobacteraceae. The record is from RNAcentral.